AUGACAAGAAGAUAUUGGAACAUUAAUUUGAAAGAGAUGAUCGAAGCAGGAGUUCAUUUUGGUCAUGGUAUUAAGAAAUGGAUUCCUAAAGUUGCCCCUUACAUUUCGGCAAAGCGUAAAGGUACUCAUAUUAUAAAUCUCGCAAGUCAGGGAAAAAGUUUCUUAAUUGUUGGUACCAAAAAAAGAGCAACAGAUUUAGUAGCAUCAACUGCAAUAAGGGCUCGUUGUGAUUAUGUUAAUAAAAAGUGGUUCAGUGAUGUGGCAAUCUUGAAGAGAAAAUUAUCUACCUUGCAAAGGUAUCUCGGCGGGAUCAAAUAUAUGACGAGAUUGCCAGACAUUCUGAUCAUCCUUGAUCAGCAAAAAGAGUAUAUAGCUCUUCGGGAAUGUGCCAUUUUCGGGAUUCCUACUAUUUCUUUAGUCGAUACAAAUUGUGACCCGGAUCUCGCGAAUAUAUCGAUUCCAGCCAACGAUGACACUAUGACUUCAAUUCGAUUGAUUCUUAAAAAAUUAGUAUUUUCAAUUUGUGAGGGCCGUUCUCUCUAUCUAAGAAAUCAUUGA
This 558-nucleotide ribosomal RNA is filed under the name Triticum aestivum (bread wheat). RNAcentral describes it as "partial small subunit ribosomal RNA". The record is from RNAcentral. Lineage: Eukaryota; Viridiplantae; Streptophyta; Magnoliopsida; Poales; Poaceae.